This 478-nucleotide ribosomal RNA is filed under the name Cryptosporidium parvum. RNAcentral's name for it is "SSU rRNA". It matches the Rfam family "Eukaryotic small subunit ribosomal RNA", at positions 357 to 865 of the family's 1831-position model. Lineage: Eukaryota; Apicomplexa; Conoidasida; Eucoccidiorida; Cryptosporidiidae. The record is from RNAcentral.
GGGUACGGGGAUUAGGGUUCGAUUCCGGAGAGGGAGCCUGAGAAACGGCUACCACAUCUAAGGAAGGCAGCAGGCGCGCAAAUUACCCAAUCCUAAUACAGGGAGGUAGUGACAAGAAAUAACAAUACAGGACUUUUUGGUUUUGUAAUUGGAAUGAGUUAAGUAUAAACCCCUUUACAAGUAUCAAUUGGAGGGCAAGUCUGGUGCCAGCAGCCGCGGUAAUUCCAGCUCCAAUAGCGUAUAUUAAAGUUGUUGCAGUUAAAAAGCUCGUAGUUGGAUUUCUGUUAAUAAUUUAUAUAAAAUAUUUUGAUGAAUAUUUAUAUAAUAUUAACAUAAUUCAUAUUACUAUAUAUUUUAGUAUAUGAAAUUUUACUUUGAGAAAAUUAGAGUGCUUAAAGCAGGCAUAUGCCUUGAAUACUCCAGCAUGGAAUAAUAUUAAAGAUUUUUAUCUUUCUUAUUGGUUCUAAGAUAAGAAUAA